AAUUUUUUCCUUGGACUGAGGCAGGAGUGCUCACAAAGCACUGUGCUGGCCUGGCAAAAUGUCUGCAGGGUCUCUGCCUUUCCUUCCAACUAGGGCUGUGGUGCCAUCAAUAUGCUAAUUCAAGGCAGCUGAGAGCAGAACUCCCUACCUGCAGCUUCUUAAGCUCAAAGAUUUUUUUAAUCAGUUUCUUAAUUGGAACCUAGGGGACCCCAUUAUGCUUUAAUAAUACAAAAUCUAACUUUAAAAAAAAUCUUAAUUAUGGGCUGCUUUUUAAAUGGAUUUGAUCAGUGAGAGUAUCUACGUUUUGGAGAGGGGGGAGGGAGUUUUGGCUCCUUUUAGAAGAUUGGUACACAGAAAUGCUCAGGAAUCACAGUGAUUGUUAUGUGCUGCUGUGGUCAGAUUACUCUGUGUCCCAGACAGUUUAAAGGAGCACCAUAGUGUUUUAACUGACAGUUAAAAGGCGCAAGAUGGGAAUUGUAUCCUCACAGGAGCUUGCAAACCACUGUUUCACUGAAGCUUUCUGCUAAUAAGUGACAUGUCUCUCAGGAAAACUAACUGCAUUACCUUUCAUUAAUUCCACAUGAGAGGAAGACCUUUGUCUCAAUUAAAUAUGAUCUGGUGGAAGAGAUACUGGAGAAGGCUCAGCAAUGAUUGCAAAGUCAUGGGAACUCUGUUCCACUUAUUCCACCUGCUGUCUUAAGGCCUGAAACCCUCACAUGGCUUGGAAAGAAAUGCAAUGUUUGGACUUGAAGGUUUCAGAGAACUUUGUGACUAUUUGCAGUUUAUGCUAAAUGCCUUCUGCCUUCACUUCUGUGAAGUUUCUGUGAGGCUUAAACUAAAACUUACAGUGACAGGGCAAAUAGGACAAUAUGAUGGUGUUUGGGCCCUAUGAACACCCCUUGUGCUGAUGGUAUAGUAAGACAAUCCUGUGGUUUCGUCACUAUGGAGACUGUGACUUUAAGUAUUAAGCAGACUCCCUCUUUUUUGUUGAGGAUGGAUGGCUCUUUAAUUUGUGCUGAGAGUGCUCUCAGAAAAGGUAUGGGUCAAGCUAAUGAUUUUUAAACUGAUUGGUCAAAGAAAGGGAAAAACAUUAGUGGAUUUAUUAGCUACAGAUUUUUUCGAGACAAGUUGCUCUUCCCUGCAUUCAUCAUCUGCUUUCAGAUUACCUGCAGUACCUGCUUUUUUUGCUAUCCAAAAGCAGGGGAAGGAGUGGAAAGAUAGGGAAAUUUUUCUCAGCGAAGUUAGAUGGAGUGAGCCAUAAAGAUGGACAAAAAGCACAUGCUAGUGACAAAUGCAUGGACCAAAUUGUUCCCUGAGCACAUCUUGAUUAUCAGGCCAAAUGAAAUAGUUGGUAUGUCAGAUGCCAAUGGCACAUAUGAGGUUUA
This is a long non-coding RNA of Passer domesticus (house sparrow), 1385 nucleotides long. RefSeq lists it as uncharacterized. NCBI's taxonomy places the organism in Eukaryota, Metazoa, Chordata, Aves, Passeriformes, Passeridae. The record is from RefSeq and is a predicted model, not a curated record. The transcript is spliced from 3 exons.